GGUGAGAUGGCCGAGCGGUCUAAGGCGCCACGUUAAGGUCUUCCUUAAUCAACAUCUCCUAGUAGAUUCCGUGGUCCGAAAGGGCGUGGGUUCGAAUCCCACUCUCAUCA
This 110-nucleotide transfer RNA is filed under the name Cercophora samala. It matches the Rfam family "tRNA". Rfam says of the family: Transfer RNA (tRNA) molecules are approximately 80 nucleotides in length. Their secondary structure includes four short double-helical elements and three loops (D, anti-codon, and T loops). The record is from Rfam by way of RNAcentral. Lineage: Eukaryota; Fungi; Ascomycota; Sordariomycetes; Sordariales; Lasiosphaeriaceae.